Long non-coding RNA from Drosophila ananassae, 337 nucleotides. RefSeq lists it as uncharacterized. The transcript has 2 exons. NCBI's taxonomy places the organism in Eukaryota, Metazoa, Arthropoda, Insecta, Diptera, Drosophilidae. The record is from RefSeq and is a predicted model, not a curated record.
UAGUCGAUUUUUGAAUAUUAUACGUGUCGGACAUUGCUGCGCCAGCGAACUAUAAAAGUCUACUCAAACAAACUUGAAUGUAUCAGCUCGAUCUCUCCUUAUUUCCUAAUGGACUGGACUAGGAUAUAUAUUUUUUUCCAUCUGACAGUGCUUACGAUAUGCAGGGCCGAGCACUCCCUUUGUCGAAUAUGGUCGAAGCGUGAAAGUGUCGUACGAGUUGGUGAAUAUUUAUUUUGCAGUUGCAAUAACGCUGAAAAGCCGACCGAAAUAAGAAUUAUUACAUAUCCCAUCGUUGACGAUAUAAAUAUAACUAUUGUUGAUAAUAAAACCAUCAAAA